RNAcentral lists this ribosomal RNA (434 nucleotides) under Candidatus Thalassarchaeaceae archaeon. Its description in RNAcentral is "partial 23S ribosomal RNA". It matches the Rfam family "Archaeal large subunit ribosomal RNA", at positions 2553 to 2987 of the family's 2987-position model. Lineage: Archaea; Methanobacteriati; Thermoplasmatota; Candidatus Poseidoniia; Candidatus Poseidoniales; Candidatus Thalassarchaeaceae. The record is from RNAcentral.
UGUCACCAGCAAGAGCACAUAUCGACCUGGUGGCUUGCUACUUCGAUGUCGUCUCUUCCCAACCUCCCGGUGCAGCAGCUGGGAAGGGUGGGGUUGUUCGCCCAUUAAAGGGGAUCGUGAGAUGGGUUUAGACCGUCGUGAGACAGGUUUGUUGCUUUGCGGUUGAAGCGCGUAAGAUGCCUGAUCGGAAGGGCCCUUUAGUACGAGAGGAACGAGGGCUCGGAGCCACUAGUUUACCAGUUGUCCGGCAGGGCAAUGCUGGGUAGCCACGCUCCAAUGGAUAAGAGCUGAAAGCAUCUAAGCUCGAAGUCAUCCGAAAGACGAGGCAUCUCAGGGGACUCGUAGAAGACGAGUUUGAUAGACAGCGGGUGUAAGCACCGAGGUUCGCCGAGGUGUUCAGCCCAGCUGCACUAACCCCCCGAGCAAUCUUGACA